Molecule: long non-coding RNA, 1028 nt
Filed under: Musa acuminata (dwarf banana)
Lineage: Eukaryota; Viridiplantae; Streptophyta; Magnoliopsida; Zingiberales; Musaceae
Description: long non-coding RNA (MACU_LNC000945)
Source: RNAcentral
UUCGACCUCAUCCUCGUCCAACCUAACCUGAUCUAAGAAUGCAUAGUAAACCAUAUAACAUUACCUGAUUUCAUUUGCAGGGACAAAAAAGUCACCUUUGAAUUGAAUUCUUAGCAUACCUUAGUUUAAAUUUGAAUUUAUUCUCGUGUAGAAUAAUGGAGGGCGGCGCAGUGAAGGUGUGCUCCUGCGUGCACCGUCGAGCAAGCUGCAGUGUCUCCUCCAUGCAAGCCUUCCUAUGUUGUGUGGGAAAGAUGAAAGCAGGAAGAUAUAACCCCAACGUGUCCACCAAAUACCAAUAUCGAUUAAUUGAGCACUACAUCAAGGCGUCGGAAUAAUAACCACGCGCGUGGCUUUGAAGGAUCCUGAAUCUAGUAGUUCAUGCAAACAGUAGCAUAUCUCAUUAGAUCAUAAUGCUCAAGUUGACCAUGUUCUGCACAGAAUGGAUGAUGAACCUUGGACACCACUAUACUUUAGAAGGAUUAUUCAAGAACUCACCUGUGCUUAUUUCAGUCACAAUCUCCAUGAAAGAACUGCACAAAUUGGAUCCUUGAUUGGUUCAACGGUGAGAAUGGCAUCAUCCGAUGAGUUGCAUCACCCACAGCAUUCCAAAUAAAAUACCCAGUAUUUGCAUUGUUGGUCAGAGAGACUAUUCUACAAAGCGAAGGCGAAGAGUCUCCUACAUGCUUCACAUACAUGUUGACCAAAGCAAAUCUAAGAGUUGGAUUCCUUUAAUCCAUGUUGUGUCGGGAUCAAGCUUCCAUGCUUGGUUACAGCCUGAACUUCAUAUAAAGAAAGAACAGUUGUGUAGGAUCAGAUUUCGAUAGCUAAUCUCGUUAUCUCUUGCGAGAAGCCAUAUUCUACACCACUUCAAGCAGAUCUGCAGGUGUCUCCUUGACACAUUCUACAUCAUGAGACCCUCCAAUAAUAUGUCCGGCUGUGCCAUGGCACUCGUCAUCAGCUCUUUUCUUGUUUUGGGAGUCAUUUACGCCUGCUUGUGGAUGCCUGAGGGAUCAACAGCUUUCUUUCAC